RNAcentral lists this ribosomal RNA (465 nucleotides) under Vreelandella stevensii. RNAcentral's name for it is "partial 16S ribosomal RNA". It matches the Rfam family "Bacterial small subunit ribosomal RNA", at positions 338 to 795 of the family's 1533-position model. The record is from RNAcentral. Lineage: Bacteria; Pseudomonadati; Pseudomonadota; Gammaproteobacteria; Oceanospirillales; Halomonadaceae.
CCUACGGGCGGCAGCAGUGGGGAAUAUUGGACAAUGGGGGGAACCCUGAUCCAGCCAUGCCGCGUGUGUGAAGAAGGCCCUCGGGUUGUAAAGCACUUUCAGUGAGGAAGAACGCCUGGUGGUUAAUACCCAUCAGGAAAGACAUCACUCACAGAAGAAGCACCGGCUAACUCCGUGCCAGCAGCCGCGGUAAUACGGAGGGUGCGAGCGUUAAUCGGAAUUACUGGGCGUAAAGCGCGCGUAGGUGGCUUGAUAAGCCGGUUGUGAAAGCCCCGGGCUCAACCUGGGAACGGCAUCCGGAACUGUCAAGCUGGAGUGCAGGAGAGGAAGGUAGAAUUCCCGGUGGAGCGGUGAAAUGCGUAGAGAUCGGGAGGAAUACCAGUGGCGAAGGCGGCCUUCUGGACUGACACUGACACUGAGGUGCGAAAGCGUGGGUAGCAAACAGGAUUAGAUACCCUGGUAGUC